UGUGUAGGGAGAGGAGUUUUCAACUUUUGAUCUUGGUUUAAUUCUGCUGGGGACUGGAGACGCGACGUGGAAACCUGAGGUUCCGGGGUAGGAGUGGAGUGGCUGCGACAGCCUGGCUGGGCUUCCUGGCUAAGACAGCAGAAGCAAGCAGGGGAGGAGCUGGCCGUGUCCCCAGGGCCGCCCAGCAGUCUGUAAGAAGAGGGACAGGCUUCUCCGAGAGUCCGUAAUUAGGAAAACCACUCUGGGCUAUGCAAAUAAACACAGGACAACGGACACAGACUAGAGAGACCAGGAGUCAUAACAAUGCCAGUUCGCCUGUCCUCUUCCGCAUUGAUCAACCUGGUGUUAAUUUCAAGUCGUAAAGUCUUCUGCUAUUUUUUUUCCUGACUGUAGAAAUAAAACUGGCUCACUGUAGAAGUAAAACAAAAUUUAAUGGCCCAAACCUCACAAUUACAUAGAAAUGUUAAGUUGAAAAGUCGUAGUCCUCUGUGACCCCGUCCAAACUAUAACCCAAAGCCGCUAAUAAUGGGUCAGUGUUCUUCCCUCUGGCAUUUCCAUCAUACGGAUACUUUCUUUGCUUUUGCUUUUUUAAAACACGUAAAUGAGGCUAUAUUCUAAAUAUCAUUCUGCAACUUAUUUUUUAAACGUAAAGAUAUAUUGUCAGUGUUUUUCCAGGUCAGUGUGUGCAGAUCUAUCCCAUUCUUUUCAGCUGUGGCAGAGUGUUCCAUUUAUUUAAAUCACCCUCCAGCCCGCUGACAUCAGCACUGAGGAUCCUUUCUCACUCUUGCAAAAAGCCUGCGGGAGGCAUCCUCAGACACAUCUUUGCAACUUGCAUGUUUCAAUGGGAGCAAAAACGCCUACAUUUCUCUCCUAACAAAGACAAUGUAGCUAAACGGAAUAGGACCCCUGUAUGUUUUAAAACCCAAAUUGGGGUGGGCGGACCACCAGGGGAUAGUGGUAAUAACCGUGGAUGUUUGGGCUUGGUUUUAGGGUUUGUGCAACCAUGUAAGAAAGGUCUGUUUACCAUGAAUCUCAUCUUCCAACCCUCUAAUUCUAAAGCUGUUGCUUUUAUAUUUAAUCUAAGUGAGAUUUAACCUAAAAGCCCAACUUUGGAUCAGCCUGUGUGAAGUUCAGGAACAUCAUCUUACCCAUAUCCCAGGAGGAACUGCAAUUGGAUACAUCCUCGGGUCUGGCAUUCCCUGGGUCGGUUUCCACUUUUUCCUAUUGAAGGACUUCUGGGUUCUCUAGUUACACAGCACCUUGGAUGCCUGUUUCCCAUGGUGCACUAUCGGCCAAGUUCUGUGUGAGGAAUGUCACAUGCAUUGCUCUGCUGAAUUCUUACAACAAAUUGGUGAGGUUCAUUUUUAAAGCUAUAAGCACCAAAUUAUUGAUGACCCCUGCCUGCCCCACACUGUCUGAAGCCAUGAAGCCCAUCUUCAAGCUGCCUGUUCUACCUCUAACUAUGGUUUUCCCAUGAUGCAUCUGGCUACCUUGGUUCAGCUAUCGGAUGGGAAGGGAUGGAUGCAGGAGGGAAAGAUAACUCUUGCUUAAAGGGCACCAUCAGAUGCCAAGCCAAAGUCAUAAAGAGGAUGAGGCAGCGGGCCUCCAAGGUAUCCCGGGGAAGACUGUCUUAGGCAGAAGCAAUGCCAAGUUCAAAGGCACUGGGGUGUUGCAAGAACAGCAAGGAGACCCGAGCAGCUGGACUGGGGUGAGCAAAGGGGAGAGAGCAGGAGGAGAAGGGACAGAGGCCACGGGGCUCCGGGCCUCGAAGGGACUUGAAAGCCGUUGCAAAGAGUUUGACAUUUCCAUAUUGAACCACAGUUCUUCCAAAGAACACUCUACCUGCCUAGGAACAUUCCUUUCCUGCCUAGGUUGGAGCUCCCCUUCCCCCCCACACCCACCUUCCUGGCCUAGUCAAUGGUCUCAGCCAAUUCCUCUCUUCCUUAGUUUCCCCAUCGCAUGCUGCCAGAGCGAGCCUCUCCCAUCCCCAA
Phyllostomus discolor (pale spear-nosed bat) is the source of this 1991-nucleotide long non-coding RNA. RefSeq lists it as uncharacterized. The record is from RefSeq and is a predicted model, not a curated record. The transcript is spliced from 5 exons. NCBI's taxonomy places the organism in Eukaryota, Metazoa, Chordata, Mammalia, Chiroptera, Phyllostomidae.